AUACGUAGGGAGCGAGCGUUGUCCGGAAUUACUGGGUGUAAAGGGUGCGUAGGCGGGAUGGCAAGUCAGAUGUGAAAUGCCGGGGCUCAACCCCGGAGCUGCAUUUGAAACUGUCGUUCUUGAGUGAGGUAGAGGUAAGCGGAAUUCCUAGUGUAGCGGUGAAAUGCGUAGAUAUUAGGAGGAACAUCGGUGGCGAAGGCGGCUUACUGGGCCUUUACUGACGCUGAGGCACGAAAGCGUGGGGAGCAAACAGGAUUAGAUACCCUGGUAGUCCACGCUGUAAACGAUGAUGACUAGGUGUGGGGGGACUGAACCCUUCCGUGCCGCAGUAAACACAAUAAGUCAUCCACCUGGGGAGUACGGCCGCAAGGUUGAAACUCAAAUGAAUUGACGGGG
This 396-nucleotide ribosomal RNA is filed under the name uncultured bacterium. Its description in RNAcentral is "partial 16S ribosomal RNA". It matches the Rfam family "Bacterial small subunit ribosomal RNA", at positions 523 to 918 of the family's 1533-position model. The record is from RNAcentral.